RNAcentral lists this long non-coding RNA (7677 nucleotides) under Homo sapiens (human). RNAcentral describes it as "HSALNT0173601". Lineage: Eukaryota; Metazoa; Chordata; Mammalia; Primates; Hominidae. The record is from RNAcentral.
CCGAUGGGGUCCACCCUGCCUGGCUUGGGAAGGAGCACAUGACUAUACCUUGCCAAUCAGUGCAUUCCAUCCUCCUUCCCACACUGAUUGGUCCAAAGAAAAACAUGCAAAUCAAGCUAAAACAAUGAGAGUCUCUUGACUGAAUGUAAAGCUCAAACUGCCAGCAGCCACCACAAGAGGAGUCUGUCUACAGAUGAAGCCAACACUUAAAGACCCAGCCAAUAAUAAGAAAUAAGAAGUGAAUUCCAAUAAUAACAUUGGUAUCUGGAUCAAGCUAUUCUCGGUGUUGGUCAUCCCUGAGGACUUCUAAGUUAUUAAUCUUGAACGGCACAUACAGUGUGAAUGUAGCAAGGCACUCAAUACCCUGAAAAUUCGCUCGUCUCUCAUGGGCCUGCCUCUGAAGCUGCUAUGAAAGCCGGCAACCACACAGAAUUUGCCUCCGGUAAGAAUUAUUUAAAAGCGUAAAGGUCAGACCCAGCAUUGUACACACACAUUUGGGUUUUCCAUUUUUCUACUUAUUCUACUGCCCAACAGCAUGCAGGCUCAUCAGAAGGGGCGGAAGGAUGUCCUGCGGCUCUGCAGAUGUGGUGCUGGCAAAAGAGGAGCACCCAGUGGAAGGAGCAACCUCAUCUCUCCAAAUAUAUGUGUGCUCCAAAACCCAUCUCACCUUCAUCAGAGAUUAGGAGAAGGAUGAAAGUAUCCAGUGUGGUUACCUAAACUAACUUGUGAACACAUCUGAGCCACAGAGGAGAAAUGCAUCACAGGAAGACAGAAGCAGCUAAGGCUGGAACCAAAUAAAUACAGGUUAAGACUGUCAAUGGGACUCUAGUGGGCUCACUGUCUGGCAAGACCUGGAGAAGUUCACUCUUCACUUACAGUUCAGAGUACAAAAUAAGUAAUCAGUGUUUGUCAAGUAGCCUGAAUAUAACUGGUACAGAAUCUACACGACGCUAAGAACUCAAUCACUGAGAAUUCAGCCACUGAGAAAAGGGAAUACUGUAUAUUUGACAAUUGGUUUUAAUGUCCAUAGGACGUUCUGAGGGCCCACCUGGUCUAGCUUCCGACCAAUCUCAAACUUGACACCAACUACUUUGACUGCAGCCUUGAAGCGACGGUCUCUGUAACUAAGAGUGAUUUCUAGAGCUGCUCACAGUACGGGAAUAAGGUGUCUGAGCUGAAGAAAUGAUACCAAAAAGCCUAAAAUUGCUGGUGGAGGCUUUCUUUGAAAACUCUCACUGCCGUACUGUGAGGUUUAAUGUAAGAUUUGUCCUACUCCCAUUUCUCACUUUUAUUGAACGAUGCUCACCUGAAGAGAUGCUAGAUUUCUGAGUGUUCAGGAAGAAUCUAGGUACAUGUACCUUGUUAACACAUGUUAUUAAAGCCCAUGGACAUCAUUUAGGGCUUUGCUUGGUUCCAUUUUGCUCUAUCAUCUCUAGUCUUUCCGUUUUGUAUGUCCAUGACUGUGCCUGAUCUUGUAUUGGAAAUACUUUCUUUCCUUUUGUCACUGGGUGUCUAAUCUGUGUAAAUUCUCAGUUCACCAGCCAGAGACAUAUCUCUACCACCACCACCCUGAUUCACUCAUUCAUUCGUUCAGAAGACAGGGACCAAGCAUCUACUAUGUGCCAGGCACUGAGCUUGCCUAGGGUAUGCAUAGAGGACAAAGUACAGGUCCUUGCUCUGAUGGAGCUUGUAAUCACUUUAUACUCUCUUUCUAUCCACCAGCAGCAACUCUGGAUUAAAAGGAGCCUAUUAGUGUAAUAGGAGAAAAUGAAAGAACACCCAGCAGCCAGCCAGCCAUGUCCCAAAGUGGAGGUCCAGGUCUUCUGUGGAGCACAGUGUGGGCCCAUGGCAGGUCUGACUGCAGCCGAAGUACACUGCCAGCACUUCCCUCUUGGUGCAUAUGCCCAGGGCUGCUGUCUCUCUCCACUGCAUGGUUCUUCAGAGGGAAAAAGCCACAUGCAACCUAUACUUGCCUCCUGAUAUGUGUUGUGGAGGAAGUUGCCUCUGUGGUGCAGGAACAGCAGGAGCUGACUCAUGCCUUAUAACACAUUAAGACAUAAAUCUGUGUGUGUGAGAGACAGGGUUUCCCUCUGUCACCCAGGCUGAGUGCAGGGGUGUGCUCACGGCUCAUUGCAACAUCGACCUCCCAGACUCAGCAAUCCUCCUGCCUCAACCUCCCAAGUAGCUGGGACUACAAGCACAUACCAUGCCUGGCUAAUUUUUUAAUUUUGUAGAGAUGGGGCCUCACUAUGUUGCCCUGUCUGGUCUCAAACUCCUGAGCUCAAGUGAUCCUCCAACCUCAACCUCCCAAAGUGUUGGGAUUACAUGCACAAGUCACUGCACCUGGCCAAUUUUUCUUUUUAAACCCUAGUGUCUGAGUCACUUGUUUUUUCUCUUCCCUCAAUGAUCCUAUUUUCCCCUAGAAGCACACCUCACCACUUAAUCCUGAGAGCCCCUGAAGGGUGCUGGCCUGGAUUUCUGUACACCCUUUUUGCAACUAGAUGAAAACGUCCAGGUCUUCUAAGAUGAAAAGCAGCUACUUCCUGAGUUGCUCAGGCCACGGAGUAGACAGACAUCUAGGAUAUCCUGGUUUAGUCUAGCAAACUCCGCAAAGGAAGCCUGGAUUCUAGUCCUAUUUUGCCCUCAAAUUAAGUCUGUAGCUUUGGGCAAGUCACUUUCUCUGUCAAAAACUCUCUAUGUUGGUCUCUGUCAAAAGGAGGCAAUAAUGAACAGCAGUUGACAUAUAAACACUGUAAAUGCUGGCUAUUGUUAAUUAUUAUUAGUAAUACAUACCCUGGUUAAAGAAUUGUUGUGAGCCCCAAAUGAGAUAAUACAUAUGAAAGUUCUCUGAGUGAAAUACACCAUCCAAAUGUAAAUUUAUUAUUGUUGUUUGCCAAAUGGCUCUCUCAGAAUGUGCAGGCAAAAAUAUAAAUUAUGCCAACGGUUGCUAUGAAGCAUAAUUGAAUGCAGACAAAUACUUCUUUAGCACCUCCACAUUCUUCCAUACAACCACCACCAACACAUCAGAUAAAGGCACCCGGCAGGCUUUGAAGGCUGAAUUGGACAGAGCUGGCAGAAAGGGACGAGUGAGAUCCCACAUGACCAGUUCUGCAUAAACUGGCUUUGGAAAUGGUAUUUACUGAUUUGGUCAUCAAUGGCGAGGUAGGAAGCAAAGUGAUCGGUUUUGCUUUCUCCUUUUUCAAAUAAACAGGGCAGUUGUUAAACCAGAAGUGAAUCUGAUCCGGGCUUUAAGAGCAGUCAGCUGCAUUCUGAAACAGGCAAAAAUGUAAACAGAGCCCUGUAACUCUAGACUAGGGCAGAACAGCCAUAGGUUUCAUAAUGGGAGAGUCUAUGGGCCCUGUGCCAAGAAAAAUGAAAUGUUACCCUGGGCCUUUAAACAGAAUCAUGUAAGAGCAGAGUGCAUAUUUGUUUAACACACACACACACACACAAGACCUUUUUCUGUGCCAACACCUUUCUGAACCCUCCUGAAUAAAAGCUGAAAUCCCUGAAAACGUCGUACAGAACCAAUAUUGUUUGCAUAGUCUCAUUCUUUAGUGCCAAAGGAUUUUUCUGCUGAACAAGGAGCUGUUUCUUUCUUUUCUUUUUUCUUCUUCUUCUUCUCCUUUUUUUUUUUUUUGCCUAAGUUAAUUACAAAGUAUGACUGAGAAAAUAAAAUAAAUGAGCCCAUUCCACCCAUCCCUGUAUCUGAAUUCUAUCAUAUGAGUUGCCAGUUGGUUUUCUAAUCCUCUCACUCAAUAUCUGCUGUUAAUUUGUUCACUAUUUCAAGAACUUGAAGACUGUCAGCAAAAUACAUGAUGCAUUACAAAACUUAUAAUUGGAAAUAAAAACAUCUGACGCUUUCCUGACAGAGUAAACAUAAAGUACUAUUGCACUGAUCAGAACAAGGGAAAUGUGAGCAACCUUGUAGCUAUUUGUGUGCAAACACAAUUAGAAAUGCUGCAGAGAGUGAAAUCAACUCCCACUUUGAAAAAUGCUGAGAAAAUUACAUCUAAAUGAAUGAAUGAAUUCAACAUGGUUAUGAUAGGAAAUGAGGGGAAGAGAGGAAGGGAAAACAAAUCCUGCUCACACUUCCUUUGAAAAUGCAACUCAACAGACUUUCUCUUCCUAUUUCAGCCAUUUUAGAAUUGCACUGCCUAGGCCUGAUCUAAUUUUCCUGCUGGAGAAGUUAAGGCACUUCCUCCACAGUUACUAAAUCUGACAAAUUACACCUGGGUCCACUCUAACGUGAAAAAAUGUGUUCUUUGUUCCUGACCCUUUGGUCAGCCUAGAGAUCAAAUUCCUGGACAUUGGAAAGCCCCACUCAUAUUCAUUAAAAGCCACGGGAGACCAGCUCUGUAUUUCUGUUCAAGAGAAGAACAAGGUGCAGGCUUUCGCUGAACAAUACAACUGCUCUGCUCCAGUCGGUGCAAUAUAGACCUUUCACUUUCUGCAGCUUGGCUGCUGAUCAAUUAGUAUGUGGAUUUUUUUUUUUUCUGCACAGUAUCUUAGUAUCAAAACAGCAAAAGAAGAGCCUAGUCCCACGAGUAAGUUUACCCCAAAUUGCUUGUGUUAAAAAGCUGGCUACAGAUUCAGUAAUCAAAAAUACAAAGAUGAUUUCAAAACUCUACCUUACCUCUACCCAGCCAGACAUGCCAUUAGUUACCACAGGGGCUAGUAUUUGACAGAUUAGAAUUUUGUUCCCUUUCUAACCAUACUCAGCCUUUGAGAAAGAUGUUACAGAGCUGAGAGUGAGUCACAAAGACAAAAUUGGGCACCACUGGUGGCAGAGAAUCAAUUUUAGGUAUGCAAGCAAUCCACAAGCUCUCCCAUGGUACGAAGUAUGUAUGAGGCUGACCCACCUGCCUGACAACAAAAAACCUUCUUCUUCUGCACUCCCAAAAAAGAAUGAGAAAAAAACAACAAUAGGAGAAGUGAAGCAAAUCUGUGGCUGAACUGUUAAAAAGAUGCCUGAUGCCUUUCUUCCAGAUUCUUGGAAGAAUGAGAUGGUGAAGGAAUACAUACAGAUGCCAUAAAACCUGCCUUAAGGCCUCCUGAGGUAAGGGUGCCCCUAAAGAAUUCAUCAACUAUUGCCUUCCCAUUUGAGGGAGCCCCUUUCCUUCCAGACCUGGCAUCCCACUUAUAACAUCUUCAGUUUAGGCCACUGGAUUUUCCCAGACCUAUCAAACCACAUUCAAAGCCUCUUCCUUGGGGAUCUAGUAAGUACUACAGAACAUUACGGUUGCAAACAUAUAUAAAUGCUCUGGUGUGUUGUAAGUUAUUUUCUACAUACCAAUUCCUGUUAAACUGUAAAUUAGAAAACACUACUUUAAUUCUCCCUAGUCUUGAGGUAGCUUUCAGCUGUGUUGCAAGUUAUCAACAUGUAACAAAUACAGACUAAUAUUCUUUUUCUGUAGCUAGACCAAGCCACAAUCCAUAUCUUCUAAAUACAUGAAUUAUAGCUAUUUUCCUAGUCUGAUGGCGAUUACUUUUGAGAAACCUGUGAAUCCUUAAUAUCAGGGUUCUUAUUUUGAUUUCUAUUUUUAAAACCACUAGCGGUAUCAGCAAUGCAGAACUUAAUACUUCCUCCAAAAAAGUCACUGUGAAAACAGGGAAAUCAAACAAUCAAUUUACAUUAUUUUGGGUUGAAAUAUCUGUUGGGUUACUAAGCAGGGACUCACCUAUGUGUAAAUCUCAGAGAUGGAAAAAAUCUAAUUUCCGAGGGGAGAAAAGUGGUACCUAUGGUAUAAGUUCUCCCAAACGUUGCUUCUUAAUAAUAAAAGAGGUUAAAAAUUGUACAAGACAUUAAAGGAAUUCAAGCAUGCUCACAAAUAUGUAUUGUUUUUGAAAAUUCUAACUUUGAUGACCAUUUAAGUGGGUGGCAUAUGAGAGAAACAAGGGCAGACCUCAUUCCUCAUGUUUUACAACUAAAUGAAGAAGUUAAGGGACUUGCCUAGUGUCACCCAAUGGGCAGAAGGUGAACUAGGGCUAAAACUUAUCUAAUCUCACUCCUAGUCCCAUAGUCUCCUUAUGAAGGUUGACAGAGGUAUAAAGUAGUUUGGAAACAUUAACACAUCACUAUUAGUAGUAAUAGCUAACAUUUAUCAAAUGCUUACUCCAUGCUAAAAAGUCUUCUAUGCACUGUGGAUGCAUUAAUUCUAUCUUCAUAACAACCAUGAAACCGUAAUGUUUUCUCCCAUUUUAGAGAUGAAACAGAGGCAGGCAGAUGUUAAGAAACUCACCCAAGGUCCCACUGAGCAAGUGGUAAAGAUGGCAAAUACUCUCCUCCCUAGCACAGAAAUGCUAAUGCAGACAUUUCUAAAUCGAUGUUCAGAUUAUCAGUAGCUCUGGGAAUAUUAAUUUUGAUGAAAUAUCUUCACAGUGAGAUCCAAACUACUGAUGCCUCCCAAAAACAGAUGAUGAAACUGAAAUAUCAUUUUUGUCAACCUCUGUAUUCUUGGUCAAAAUACAAAGUAUCAACAAUUCCAAUGGAUGGGGCAAAAAUCAUUUAAAGAUCUCCCUCAUUGUAAAGAGAUGCUCAAUAGGAAAUGGUUGAAGCUUUGUGGAAAUCUCAACAGACUUAAGUCUAAGGACACCUUUAGGAGAACAUUUCAGAAGACUGAUUAGUGCUUAUUUUCUUGACUUUGCUACCUUGCCAGUAUUAAAAUUAAAACAUUUUAAAUGAUAUCAAUCCAGUUCAGAUAUAAACUUUGUCUGCAGUUUGCAGCACCACCAAAAACAGAUCAUGCCCUGCCACAUCACAUAUCUGAAUUAGUCUGUUUGUUCGAUUGCUUGAGAUGCUGCAAGAUCUGCCUGAGGACCAAAAUCAUUCCCUCAUUCAUCACAGCUACAAUCUAGUUUAGCUGAACCCUGUCCUAAACAGAUUUGAAUCAGCUCAGAUAAUGGAGGAAGUUUGUUGCUGUCAUCAUUUCAGCAACUAUCAGUCCAGGGAUUUCUGAACAUCUGCUUGCUCAGGAAUAGCCUUAAAUGUCCUGUGCCUUUUAAGGAUUUUUUCAAAAGUAAUCUUAAAUUAUUUUUAAACAAUGAUCUUAACUUGCAUGUAGAGCACCUCUGCCAAUCAGAGGUCAUUCCUCAACUACUGUACUGACAUUAAGAACUGGGCUGUGAAGCUGGAAAUGCUCUGUCUCCUGCCCUUUACCCAGAAAUGCUAAUAUCAACAUCCUACAUGACCCCAGAUUACAGUUUGACAGGACUGAUUUCUGCUGUUUAUUCUCUUGCCCUUUACCACGUUCUCACACAUUAAAAAAAUAAAUUGACGUACCUUACUAAAUAAAGCUAGGUAUAAACUGGAUCUGAGGAUUAUAACCACCAAUUACCACAUCCCAACCCCUGCCACCCCUCAGUCAUGCUGUACACCCUGGAAUCAGACUUGUCAGGUUCAAAUCAGACCUCUUAUUAUCUGUGGCGAUUCUUGAGCAAUUACUUAACUUUUCUGCACCUGGAUUUUCUUAUCUGCCAAAUGAGAAUCAUAAUAGUGCCCAUCUCCUAAAGGUAUUUUGAGGAUUAAAUAAGAUGACACGUAUACAAAAAAUGUAGGACAAUGCCUGGCAUAUAGGAAGUACUUAAUUAAGAGUUCAAAAUCAUUGUCGGGGUUGAUUUUAAACAGAUAUGUACUUCCUGUACCCACUCACCAGUCCUUCUGGAUACCAACUCGUA